GAUGAACGCUAGCGGCAGGCUUAACACAUGCAAGUCGAGGGGCAGCAUAAUGGAUAGCAAUAUCUAUGGUGGCGACCGGCGCACGGGUGCGUAACGCGUAUGCAACCUACCUUUAACAGGGGGAUAACACUGAGAAAUUGGUACUAAUACCCCAUAAUAUCAUAGAAGGCAUCUUUUAUGGUUGAAAAUUCCGAUGGUUAGAGAUGGGCAUGCGUUGUAUUAGCUAGUUGGUGGGGUAACGGCUCACCAAGGCGACGAUACAUAGGGGGACUGAGAGGUUAACCCCCCACACUGGUACUGAGACACGGACCAGACUCCUACGGGAGGCAGCAGUGAGGAAUAUUGGUCAAUGGACGCAAGUCUGAACCAGCCAUGCCGCGUGCAGGAUGACGGCUCUAUGAGUUGUAAACUGCUUUUGUACGAGGGUAAACGCAGAUACGUGUAUCUGUCUGAAAGUAUCGUACGAAUAAGGAUCGGCUAACUCCGUG
RNAcentral lists this ribosomal RNA (488 nucleotides) under uncultured bacterium. Its description in RNAcentral is "bacterial SSU rRNA". It matches the Rfam family "Bacterial small subunit ribosomal RNA", at positions 28 to 507 of the family's 1533-position model. RNAcentral also lists the same sequence under 1 other name. The record is from RNAcentral.